RNAcentral lists this ribosomal RNA (472 nucleotides) under uncultured bacterium. RNAcentral describes it as "bacterial SSU rRNA". It matches the Rfam family "Bacterial small subunit ribosomal RNA", at positions 24 to 518 of the family's 1533-position model. The record is from RNAcentral.
UCAGGACGAACGCUGGCGGCGUGCUUCAUACAUGCAAGUCGAACGAGAAGCUACUCGGUAAGUGGAAAGUGGCGACGGGUGAGUAAUGUGUAGAGAAUCUGCCCUGAAGUGGGGGACGAACAGAGGGAAACUUCUGCUAAUACCCCAUAUGAGCGUAGUUGAGAUACUAUUCUUGAAAGAUUUAUCGCUUCAGGAUGAGUCUGCAUCUGAUUAGCUAGUUGGAGGUGUAAUGGACCACCAAGGCGACGAUCAGUAGCUGGUUUGAGAGGAUGAUCAGCCACAAUGGGACUGAGACACGGCCCAUACUCCUACGGGAGGCAGCAGUAGGGAAUUUUGCGCAAUGGGCGAAAGCCUGACGCAGCCAACGCCGCGUGAUCGCAGACGGCCUUCGGGUUGUAAAGAUCUGUCAGUAGGGACGAACAAUGACUGUACCUACAGAGGAAGCACCGGCUAACUCCGUGCCAGCAGCCGC